RNAcentral lists this long non-coding RNA (249 nucleotides) under Homo sapiens (human). RNAcentral describes it as "non-protein coding lnc-SLC25A25-3:1". The record is from RNAcentral. Lineage: Eukaryota; Metazoa; Chordata; Mammalia; Primates; Hominidae.
AGUUCCAAGACCAAGAAGCCCAACUCUCACCAGCGGGGGCAGAUGGGGAGCUAGGGAAGGAACCCUCCCAGCCUGGGGAGGGCACCUGCACCCCUCCCAGAGAGAGAAGCCCCCAUCCCGGCCCCCCAGCUGGGCCCCAGCGCUGCUGGAACCAGCCGGCAGGUGGGGCAGAAAAGCAGCACCUCCCCUCACCAGGGCGAGGAGGCAAUAUUGAACCGUGAACUCAAGAAGAAAGACGGAAAGAAAAAA